GACGAACGCUGGCGGCGGGCUUAACACAUGCAAGUCGAACGGAAUGGCCGUGUCUUUGCCCGGUGCUAGAGUGGCGCACGUGUGUGUAACGCGUGAGUAUCCUGCCCUUUACUGAGGGAUCACUUCAGAAAAUUGGGGAUAACGCCUGCGCGCUGCUCCUGCUGCAUGUAGCGGGUAAGAAAGUUUCGGCGGUUGGUGAUGGACUCGCGGCUUAUCUGCUUGUUUGUGGGGUAGUGGAUUACCAAGGCUAUGACGGGUAGCCGGACUGGGAGGGUGACCGGCCAAGAGGCGACGGAGAUACGACACAGACUCGUCCGGUACGCAACAGUGGAGAGUAUAAUAGAAUGGGAGGAAGGCUGAUGUAGGAACGCCGCGUGCGGGAAGACGGCCUUCGGGUUGUGAACCGCUUUUGCCUGUGAGGAAGCGUGAGUGACGGUAAUGGGAAAAGAAGCACCGGCAAACUUCGUG
Molecule: ribosomal RNA, 468 nt
Filed under: uncultured bacterium
Lineage: Bacteria
Description: partial 16S ribosomal RNA
Rfam family: Bacterial small subunit ribosomal RNA
Source: RNAcentral